UUGGAGGGCAAGUCUGGUGCCAGCAGCCGCGGUAAUUCCAGCUCCAAUAGCGUAUAUUAAAGUUGUUGCAGUUAAAAAGCUCGUAGUUGAAUUUCGGAAUUCUUUUAUCGGUUGAAUCAACAGGUUCGUACUGAUUUUAAGAAUUUCUACCUUCUGGAGAACCUUAAUGUCAUUUAUUUGGUGUUUUGGGAAACCAGGACUGUUACCUUGAAAAAAUUAGAGUGUUUAAAGCAGGCUUAUGUCUGAAUAUAUUAGCAUGGAAUAAUGAAAUAGGACGGCAUGGUUCUAUUUUGUUGGUUUCUAGGAUCACCGUAAUGAUUAAUAGGGAUAGUUGGGGGCAUUAGUAUUCAAUUGUCAGAGGUGAAAUUCUUGGAUUUAUUGAAGACUAACUUCUGCGAAAGCAUUUGCCAAGGAUGUUUUCAUUAAUCAAGAACGAAAGUUAGGGGAUCGAAGACGAUCAGAUACCGUCGUAGUCUUAACCAUAAACUAUGCCGACUAGGAAUCGGACGAAGUUAAUUUUUAAUGACUCGUUCGGCGCCUUACGGAAACAUCG
Molecule: ribosomal RNA, 553 nt
Filed under: uncultured Pacisporaceae
Lineage: Eukaryota; Fungi; Glomeromycota; Glomeromycetes; Diversisporales; Pacisporaceae
Description: SSU rRNA
Rfam family: Eukaryotic small subunit ribosomal RNA
Source: RNAcentral